This 518-nucleotide long non-coding RNA is filed under the name Elaeis guineensis (African oil palm). RNAcentral's name for it is "long non-coding RNA (EGUI_LNC012383)". The record is from RNAcentral. Lineage: Eukaryota; Viridiplantae; Streptophyta; Magnoliopsida; Arecales; Arecaceae.
UGGCUAUCAUGAGAUACAGAAGAUGAUAACCUCCUUUUUCUUUACCUACCAAAAAUGCAGAAUAUAACCUCCUUUUUCUUUACCUCAAGUAAUUCACCAACCCCACCUAAUUCCAACAAAAUUAUUCCCUGAUCAAAAGGGAAUAAUUUAGGAGUCCUUUUUUCUUCUUUUUGUUGUUUGGGGAUGAACAUGUCAAGGAGUUUGGAACUAUAACAGUUGUUGCACCUCAGCUGAUGGUUCACAAUGGGCAGUCUCUUAACACAUUGCAAUCACAUCAAUGUAGACCCACUUUUCUAGCUGGAAUUAGCAAUGUACUGAUUUAUCCUACACGGCAUGUCGCUGAAAAAAAACAAAUGGAAAGAAAAACCUCCAUGAAAUCACCAAGUUUGAACUUUGAAGUUAUAUAAGGAGAGGAGAAGUACCAACAGAGAUGAAAGUUGUGGUGACCAAGGCGAGGAUGUUGGGAAGCAUCCCAACUGGUAGAGGAACGGGGAAGGAAAAAGGUAGGGUAAUCUGAU